This 484-nucleotide ribosomal RNA is filed under the name uncultured bacterium. RNAcentral's name for it is "partial 16S ribosomal RNA". It matches the Rfam family "Bacterial small subunit ribosomal RNA", at positions 30 to 507 of the family's 1533-position model. The record is from RNAcentral.
AUUGAACGCUGGCGGCAGGCCUAACACAUGCAAGUCGAGCGGCUGAAGGGAGCUUGCUCCUGGAUUCAGCGGCGGACGGGUGAGUAAUGCCUAGGAAUCUGCCUGGUUGUGUGGGAUUACGUCCGGAAACGGGCGCUCAUACCGCAUACGCCCUGACGACGAACGGGUGGGAUCAUGGGAUCUUACGCCCUUGGAUGAGCCUAGGUCGGAUUAGCUAGUUGGUGGGGUAAAGGCCUACCAAGGCGACGAUCCGUAACUGGUCUGAGAGGAUGAUCAGCCACACUGGAACUGAGACACGGUCCAGACUCCUACGGGAGGCAGCAGUGGGGAAUAUUGGACAAUGGGCGAAAGCCUGAUCCAGCCAUGCCGCGUGUGUGAAGAAGGUCUUCGGAUUGUAAAGCACUUUAAGUUGGGAGGAAGAGCAGUAAGUUAAUACCUUGCUGUUUUGACGGUACCAACAGAAUAAGCACCGGCUAACUUCGUG